This 48-nucleotide non-coding RNA is filed under the name Trichobilharzia regenti. The record is from RNAcentral. Lineage: Eukaryota; Metazoa; Platyhelminthes; Trematoda; Strigeidida; Schistosomatidae.
AGUUAGCUGACGGGUCCCAAACAGGACGAAAUGCACAUCAAGCUGGAU